GCAUCUAUUUGGUUGUUCUCUCUUUUCUUUUUUAUCAGUCUGGCUAGUGGUCUGUCUAUUUUUUUGUUGAUCUUUUCAAAAAACCAGCUCUUGGAUUUAUUGAUUUUUUUUGAAGGGUUUUUCGUAUCUCAAUCUCCUUCAGUUCAGCUCUGAUCUUAGUUAUUUCUUGUCUUCUGCUGGGUUUUGAGUUUUUUUGAUCUUGCUCCUCUAGCUCUUUCAAUUUUGAUGAUAGGGUAUCAAUUUUG
Molecule: long non-coding RNA, 245 nt
Filed under: Callithrix jacchus (white-tufted-ear marmoset)
Lineage: Eukaryota; Metazoa; Chordata; Mammalia; Primates; Cebidae
Description: lncRNA (ENSCJAG00000081206.1)
Source: RNAcentral